GUAGAGGUGAGUAUGUAAGGCGGGCUGGACCUCUCGGGGUUACAGCCUUGCUGAAUUAUUCACCCUUGUCUUUUGCGUACUUCUUGUUUCCUUGGUGGGUUCGCCCACCACUAGGACAAACAUAAACCUUUUGUAAUUGCAAUCAGCGUCAGUAACAAAUUAAUAAUUACAACUUUCAACAACGGAUCUCUUGGUUCUGGCAUCGAUGAAGAACGCAGCGAAAUGCGAUAAGUAGUGUGAAUUGCAGAAUUCAGUGAAUCAUCGAAUCUUUGAACGCACAUUGCGCCCUUUGGUAUUCCAAAGGGCAUGCCUGUUCGAGCGUCAUUUGUACCCUCAAGCUUUGCUUGGUGUUGGGCGUCUUGUCUCUAGCUUUGCUGGAGACUCGCCUUAAAGUAAUUGGCAGCCGGCCUACUGGUUUCGGAGCGCAGCACAAGUCGCACUCUCUAUCAGCAAAGGUCUAGCAUCCACUAAGCCUUUUUUUCAACUUUUGACCUCGGAUCAGGUAGGGAUACCCGCUGAACUUAAGCAUAUCAAACGGGGGAGAAGAAAA
This 550-nucleotide ribosomal RNA is filed under the name Alternaria solani. RNAcentral describes it as "eukaryotic LSU rRNA". The stretch from base 171 to 324 matches the Rfam family "5.8S ribosomal RNA". Lineage: Eukaryota; Fungi; Ascomycota; Dothideomycetes; Pleosporales; Pleosporaceae. The record is from RNAcentral.